UACGUAGGUGGCAAGCGUUAUCCGGAAUUACUGGGCGUAAAGCGCACGCAGGCGGUCUCUUAAGUUUGACGUGAAGGCUCCCGGCUUAACUGGGAGAGGUCGUUGAAGACUGGGAGACUUGAGGCAAUGAGAGGGGUGUAGAAUUCCCGGUGUAGUGGUGGAAUGCGUAGAUAUCGGGGGGAAUACCAGUGGCGAAAGCGGCACCCUAGCGUUAGCCUGACGCUCAUGUGCGAAAGCGUGGGGAGCGAUCCGG
RNAcentral lists this ribosomal RNA (253 nucleotides) under uncultured bacterium. RNAcentral's name for it is "partial 16S ribosomal RNA". It matches the Rfam family "Bacterial small subunit ribosomal RNA", at positions 524 to 776 of the family's 1533-position model. The record is from RNAcentral.